Molecule: ribosomal RNA, 639 nt
Filed under: uncultured Actinomycetes bacterium
Lineage: Bacteria; Bacillati; Actinomycetota; Actinomycetes
Description: bacterial SSU rRNA
Rfam family: Bacterial small subunit ribosomal RNA
Source: RNAcentral
CGCGGCCUAUCAGCUUGUUGGUGGGGUAACGGCUCACCAAGGCAUCGACGGGUAGCUGGUCUGAGAGGACGAUCAGCCACACUGGGACUGAGACACGGCCCAGACUCCUGCGGGAGGCAGCAGUGGGGAAUCUUGCGCAAUGGGCGAAAGCCUGACGCAGCAACGCCGCGUGGGGGGUGAAGGCUCUCGGGUUGUAAACCCCUUUCAGCAGGGACGAAAUUGACGGUACCUGCAGAAGAAGCCCCGGCCAACUACGUGCCAGCAGCCGCGGUGACACGUAGGGGGCGAGCGUUGUCCGGAAUUAUUGGGCGUAAAGAGCUCGUAGGCGGUUUGGUAAGUCAGAUGUGAAAGGUUGGGGCUCAACCCUAAGACUGCAUCCGAUACUGCUAUGACUAGAGUCCGGUAGAGGAGUGUGGAAUUCCUGGUGUAGCGGUGAAAUGCGCAGAUAUCAGGAGGAACACCGACGGCGAAGGCAGCACUCUGGGCCGGUACUGACGCUCAGGAGCGAAAGCGUGGGUAGCAAACAGGAUUAGAUACCCUGGUAGUCCACGCCGUAAACGUUGGGCACUAGGUGUGGGGCCUUAUCAACGGGUUCCGUGCCGUAGCUAACGCAUUAAGUGCCCCGCCUGGGGAGUACGG